AUUGAACGCUGGCGGCAUGCCUUACACAUGCAAGUCGAACGGUAACAGGUCUUCGGACGCUGACGAGUGGCGAACGGGUGCGUAAUGCAUCGGAACGUGCCCAGUCGUGGGGGAUAACUGCUCGAAAGAGCAGCUAAUACCGCAUACGACCUGAGGGUGAAAGCGGGGGACCGUAAGGCCUCGCGCGAUUGGAGCGGCCGAUGUCAGAUUAGCUAGUUGGUGGGGUAAAGGCCUACCAAGGCAACGAUCUGUAGUUGGUCUGAGAGGACGACCAGCCACACUGGGACUGAGACACGGCCCAGACUCCUACGGGAGGCAGCAGUGGGGAAUUUUGGACAAUGGGCGCAAGCCUGAUCCAGCAAUGCCGCGUGCAGGAAGAAGGCCUUCGGGUUGUAAACUGCUUUUGUCAGGGAAGAAAUCUUCUGGGCUAAUACCCCGGGAGGAUGACGGUACCUGAAGAAUAAGCACCGGCUAACUACGUG
RNAcentral lists this ribosomal RNA (482 nucleotides) under uncultured bacterium. RNAcentral's name for it is "partial 16S ribosomal RNA". It matches the Rfam family "Bacterial small subunit ribosomal RNA", at positions 30 to 507 of the family's 1533-position model. The record is from RNAcentral.